Molecule: ribosomal RNA, 497 nt
Filed under: uncultured bacterium
Lineage: Bacteria
Description: partial 16S ribosomal RNA
Rfam family: Bacterial small subunit ribosomal RNA
Source: RNAcentral
GAUGAACGCUGGCGGCGUGCCUAAUACAUGCAAGUCGAGCGAACAGACGAGGAGCUUGCUCCUCUGACGUUAGCGGCGGACGGGUGAGUAACACGUGGAUAACCUACCUAUAAGACUGGGAUAACUUCGGGAAACCGGAGCUAAUACCGGAUAAUAUAUUUAACCGUAUGGUUCAAUAGUGAAAGACGGUUUUGCUGUCACUUAUAGAUGGAUCCGCGCCGCAUUAGCUAGUUGGGAAGGUAACGGCUUACCAAGGCAACGAUGCGUAGCCGACCUGAGAGGGUGAUCGGCCACACUGGAACUGAGACACGGUCCAGACUCCUACGGGAGGCAGCAGUAGGGAAUCUUCCGCAAUGGGCGAAAGCCUGACGGAGCAACGCCGCGUGAGUGAUGAAGGUCUUCGGAUCGUAAAACUCUGUUAUUAGGGAAGAACAAAUGUGUAAGUAACUAUGCACGUCUUGACGGUACCUAAUCAGAAAGCCACGGCUAACUACGUG